ACCCAACAACGUUCGCCGCGUGGUUUUAAUUUGCUUGGAAUUGCUUAAAUCGUGUCUAGUGACGGGAAAAUAGUGGAAACAGUCACCAUCCCGCAAACGCACAAAAAUUCUCUCGUGGUAUUGGUUUUGGCUCUUAUGCAUGGUUAUAUUUAUUUGCUUUGAUUGUUUGCAACAGCAUAAUUGCCAGAAGGAAAAAGCAAUUCGACAAAAUAAUUCGUACAGAAAGGGGAAAGUUUGUAAACGUAUCCGUAUAUUGAUUGUUAUGGUGAAGAAAACGUGACCAUAAGUACCGUGCAAGGAAAUUUUCUGCUUAACGUGCUUCACAACACCUUAUCCGUAUUCGGAGGCUUAUUGCUAGUGCUCCCCGCACCUCAUUACAAAAGCGCGGUCAUAGCGCGCCCUUCUUCAGAUAUUCGUUGAUUUUCAGUACUACCCACCAAUCGACACUGGGAAAACUCGCGGACAAAUACGAGGUUAAUAGGUGCCUCAACGCUUGCAGCCUACUCAAACACGGAAAGUCAACACUAACUCAAAGGGUACUCUGACUGCAGGAAAAUUGAUGUCAACAGAACUAAGAAAAAUUAAACUUGCCCUUGGAAAGAAGCUAUCAACGCAACAGUAUCCUCCGGCCACACAAACCCGACAGUAUUGGUAGCCAGCUCCCUCUACUAAGAGCGUUGUACACAUUUAAUUCACCAUCCAGUGACUGAAAGAUAGUUCUGUGGAUUCUCAUUUAAAACCGUGUCACCAUACUGAGGGACGUGUUCUUAUCUGUGAAGCUAGCGACAACCGAAGCUCCUGUCAUUAUAGUCAUUCCCUCACAUGAAGCCAGCAUUCACCGCCAAUCUGAGGCGAGAAGCUAUCUCAACUGCCAAGCCUACUUUCGUCGCAUAGUUCGCCUCAUCUUUAUAUACAGAAACAAAUUUUCACCUGCGACAUCUAUCGGUGGCUAGCAACCUAGUGAACCAACUCGAAUCGCCUUAGCUACACAUUUCUCAUUCACCGUGAAAGUUGACACCAAUCACGCCUUUGAUGACAAACCAUCUCCACCUAAUUUGAUCGCAUGGUGUGCUCCAUCAGUAUCUACCAGAAAUAACGCAUCCACCACGAGCGUUUUUUCAUUACUUUGAAUCAAUCGGAAUGCACAUCUGCCAUUCACCGUGAAGCUGACACCAGAGUCCACAAGUGCCGUCUCACACGUGUUUGCGGCGAGAAGCCACCAUCUCAUCAGCUAAGCCUACUUUCAUCGCGUAGUUUGGCACAUCGCUAUCUACAAGAAAUCGCUCGGUUACCAGCGACAUCUUCCAGUGCCCAGCGGAGAUCGUGAAUACCACCAACUAAUUCUUUGCUACAUAUAUCGGAGAAUUUCACCGCACGAGACCGGGUAACUCCACCCAACGAAAUAAUGGCUCCCAGAAAUCCUGAAAUCCAUAGCUGUCUAAUUUGCGACCGUUUUCAUCCGUUACGUUUUUGCCGCCAGUUCCUCGAAAUGGACAUAGGGGCUCGUCGACGAGCAGUCCGCGAACAUGGCUACUGUUUUAAUUGUCUCGCCAGAUCUCAUCGCACGUACGAGUGUACCUCCGACGAUGUGUGCAAAAUAUGCCGACAGGAACACCACUCCCUCCUGCAUCUUUACCCGAUGAUGCGAAUUAGCCGAGACGAGUUGGAACGAUCCCGAGCUAGGCAAAGAGUGGAACGAGCACCAGUAAAUGAUGCUCAUGCUCAUAAUCGACAGAGACACCGAGAUGAAGACCCCAAUAGACUGGAAGCGAGACGACAAUUUGAUGAAGAGAGGCGUAGAGCGAGAAGACUUAUCGUCCGAGCACCGAUGGGCAGAAACAAUGUCGAAGGUCUCAGAUCAUCUGUACCUCGGUACAUGAUUCAAUUGGCCAUAAGAACCCUAAAACGAGUGACCGAAGCUCUGGACACCUGAAUAAUUGGCCUUUCUGCCCAAGGCGGGGAGCAUGUUGAAUGGACUGACCUUCCAGCCACAUCGUUUGUUGUUGAAUAGACUUAUCCCAACAAUUUUGAAUUUAUAUUAAGAUCUCAAUGAAGUAUUUGAACUAUGAUUAAUCGUAAGAAACCGUUAAUGAGUAAUAGAUUAGUAUGUUCCAAUGUAAUGGAUUAAAAGAUAGAUUGGAAUUGAUUAAAUAAGAAACCGGUACUAGUAAUGAUGAGUGGCAACACUUCUUUGGAAUAUGGAGGUAGCCUGCGAGCUACGAGCCGAGUUUCUUUCUUCUUUGGUUAGCAACCGUCAUCGACUAGACAUCUCACAAGAAAAUAAAACCGCUCAUGAAGAAGAAUUCUA
This is an RNA transcript of Stomoxys calcitrans (stable fly), 2308 nucleotides long. RefSeq lists it as uncharacterized. The record is from RefSeq and is a predicted model, not a curated record. NCBI's taxonomy places the organism in Eukaryota, Metazoa, Arthropoda, Insecta, Diptera, Muscidae. The transcript is spliced from 3 exons.